This 63-nucleotide microRNA precursor is filed under the name Xenopus laevis (African clawed frog). Its description in RNAcentral is "Xla-Novel-23_pre stem-loop". The record is from RNAcentral. Lineage: Eukaryota; Metazoa; Chordata; Amphibia; Anura; Pipidae.
UGCAUGUGAGAGCACAACUACUGAUUUAUAUGUGGCGUCGGUAGAAGUGAUGUCACAUGCAUG